Long non-coding RNA from Dufourea novaeangliae, 569 nucleotides. RefSeq lists it as uncharacterized. Lineage: Eukaryota; Metazoa; Arthropoda; Insecta; Hymenoptera; Halictidae. The transcript is spliced from 3 exons. The record is from RefSeq and is a predicted model, not a curated record.
UUAAAAUCAAACGGAUCCAAAAGGAAGUCAAAGUAAACAACAUGUCUCAAGUUGUCGGGCUCUUCCUCCUUGCUAUUGCUGCUAUUUGUAUGCCAGCGUUGAUUAUGGCAUCGACUACAGGGUGUCUUAGAAAAGGAAUCUGUCGUGACUCCUUAAUGAAACUCUUCUGCUCGAAACAAUGUGCAGGAAAAUGAUUUGAAGAGCGUGCAAGUAGGCCCUGCAAAUUCUAUAUUACCACUGGAUUAUUGCAGAAUAUUUGAUCUUUUUACAAAAACGCUGUAUAAUGUGAAAACAACGAAUAAUAAUAAUACAUAUUCAAUAUAAUAACAUAACAACAUGUUCAGGUACAGACGCAAUUAAUUUGACAGUAAAAAUAACUUUUGACAAGAUGAAACCUAGGUCUCAUAAUAGGCGACCAGUUUUGGAAUCAUAUUUCUGCAUACUUUUAAUUUUUAUUUUAUUACGAUGGAACUUUAUCUGUUUUCUCAUAAUUUCUGAUAUAUCGUAAAAAUGUACACUUACAUUUAAAACGUGUAUCGUAUUCCAAUAAAAGUAUUUUUAAUCGAGAA